CUGAACGAUCCUUUCACAGCUCUGUCUACUGGAAUGUUAUAAAUUAGUGGAACAUCAAAGGCCAUCAAGUCCAAUGCUUGCCUCCCCUCCAGAACUGUGCUGCUCACUGUCAGAUGACCUACACAUGACAGAUUGAGGAGGGCGCUCUUUCCCAGUAUCCCCAAGCAGUCACCUGAAUCAGGAAUAUUUUAAAGACUAAAUGCCAGAAUAUGCAGAAGUUGAAUGAGAGAACAGAUUACGGAAGCACUCUGGAAGCUGUACAGCACUAGACAGUAGAGAGAGAGAAUGAGAGAGAGAGAGCAUGC
Molecule: long non-coding RNA, 305 nt
Organism: Lutra lutra (Eurasian river otter)
Lineage: Eukaryota; Metazoa; Chordata; Mammalia; Carnivora; Mustelidae
Exons: 3
Source: RefSeq, a predicted model, not a curated record